GAAAAUUUUGCCCCUGGAGCGUCUUCUAUUUUAGAGGUUGAACAGUUCAUUGAUGGUGCCAACAACCUUCAAACAUUUCUUGAGAGUGUUAACUGGUCCACUCAGGGAAAACAGUUAUCAAAGAAAGCUUCUUUAGCUGUUAAUUCACAUAUGAAUAAUUGGCUUGAUUCUUUGAAUGAACCUUUGGCUUAUCAUCCGGUACUUUCUUUGGGAUCCUUUGCUACAUGCGGGAGAAGGGAAACCAUGG
This 247-nucleotide unclassified non-coding RNA is filed under the name Hevea brasiliensis (rubber tree). The record is from RNAcentral. Lineage: Eukaryota; Viridiplantae; Streptophyta; Magnoliopsida; Malpighiales; Euphorbiaceae.